This 281-nucleotide long non-coding RNA is filed under the name Solanum tuberosum (potato). Its description in RNAcentral is "long non-coding RNA (STUB_LNC010127)". The record is from RNAcentral. Lineage: Eukaryota; Viridiplantae; Streptophyta; Magnoliopsida; Solanales; Solanaceae.
GGGGAAGUCAUUUUAGGCGCGAUUGAAUUGGAAAAACACCAGUUUAAACAAAAAAUUAUGAGGAGGACGAAGCACUUUCAUUACUUGAAGCUAUGUAAAAGCUAAAACAACAAUCCCAGGCGAGAAGUUUCACAUGAAUGAACGAAAAAUAGACGUGCGGAAUCCUAAACUAAAUAAACAAAAGAUCGGCUAAGUGCACACUAGAAGCAAAAAUGAAUAAUAAAUGAAAAUACAAUAUACAUUCAUAUCAUAUUAAGCAGAACUAAAACAAAAGAGAGAAG